CUCGUAGGUGGUUUGUCGCGUUGUCCGUGAAAACUCACAGCUCAACUGUGGGCGUGCGGGCGAUACGGGCAGACUGGAGUACUGCAGGGGAGACUGGAAUUCCUGGUGUAGCGGUGGAAUGCGCAGAUAUCAGGAGGAACACCGGUGGCGAAGGCGGGUCUCUGGGCAGUAACUGACGCUGAGGAGCGAAAGCGUGGGGAGCGAACAGGAUUAGAUACCCUGGUAGUCCACGCCGUAAACGGUGGGUACUA
This 251-nucleotide ribosomal RNA is filed under the name uncultured bacterium. RNAcentral describes it as "partial 16S ribosomal RNA". It matches the Rfam family "Bacterial small subunit ribosomal RNA", at positions 568 to 818 of the family's 1533-position model. The record is from RNAcentral.